This 255-nucleotide ribosomal RNA is filed under the name Lactobacillus helveticus. Its description in RNAcentral is "partial 23S ribosomal RNA". It matches the Rfam family "Bacterial large subunit ribosomal RNA", at positions 1306 to 1559 of the family's 2925-position model. The record is from RNAcentral. Lineage: Bacteria; Bacillati; Bacillota; Bacilli; Lactobacillales; Lactobacillaceae.
GUAGCGAAAGAUAGGUGAGAAUCCUAUCCGCCGAAAGACUAAGGUUUCCUGGGGCAGGCUCGUCCGCCCAGGGUAAGUCGGGACCUAAGGCAAGGCCGAGAGGCGUAGUCGAUGGAUAACAGGUAGAGAUUCCUGUACUGUGUUCAAUCGUUAAGAGCGAAGGAGGGACGCAGGAGGUGAAGCACGCAUCGCGAUGGAACGAUGUUCAAGCGACAAGUGCGGUUAAGAGUCAAAUGCUUCUAACCAGCAACACGA